AGUGCCGUCCGAUGAGGAUGGCUUUUAAUCGAUGUAAGGAUUCGAUAGAAUAAAGGGGGGGCAAGACUGGUGUCAGCCGCCACGGUAAUACCAGCCCCCUGAGUGGUAAGGACGAUUAUUUGGCCUAAAGCGUUCGUAGCCGGCUUAUCAAGUCUUUUGUUAAAUCCAACGAUUUAAUCGUUGGGCCGCAAAAGAUACUGUUAUGCUAGAGGACGGGAGAGGUCGACGGUAGUCCAGGGGUAGGGGUGAAAUCCUAUAAUCCUUGGAGGACCACCAGUGGCGAAGGCGGUCGACUAGAACGUGCCUGACGGUGAGGGACGAAAGCUGGGGGAGCGAACCGGAUUAGAUACCCGGGUAGUCCCAGCUGUAAACGAUGCGGGCUAGGUGUUGGGGCAGCCACGAGCUGCUCCAGUGCCGCAGAGAAGUUGUUAAGCCCGCCGCCUGGGAGUACGCCGCAAGGC
Molecule: ribosomal RNA, 461 nt
Filed under: uncultured archaeon
Lineage: Archaea
Description: bacterial SSU rRNA
Rfam family: Archaeal small subunit ribosomal RNA
Source: RNAcentral